AAAGUUCUUGGACAAGUGAAAAUAGACAAUUUCUAUUGGAAUAAUAUAGAAAUUGUCUAUUUUAUUAUUUUUUUAAGUAAUUUAGUAUGAAAUUGCAUAUAAAUACAUAGUAUUUAUGGCAAGACUCCUGAGGGAACAGUACUAGUUGAAGACCUUAGAAAUUCUCACAGAUUUAUCUGUGUAGUAUUUCUGGCUGAAACUGUACCCUUGGAAAGCGAAGCCAUACAAUACGAAGUAUUGGGUAUAAAGAAAGCACUAA
This 259-nucleotide non-coding RNA is filed under the name Staphylococcus sp. 8AQ. RNAcentral's name for it is "tsr24". It matches the Rfam family "S. aureus tsr24 small RNA". Lineage: Bacteria; Bacillati; Bacillota; Bacilli; Caryophanales; Staphylococcaceae. The record is from RNAcentral.